CAUGUACUCCCUCCGUCCGGAAAUACUUGUUAUCAAAAUGAACAAAAGAAGAUGUAUCUAGACUUAUUUUAGUUCUAGAUACAUCCAUUUUUAUUCAUUUUGAUGACAAGUAUUUUCAGAUGGACGGAGUAUAAA
Triticum aestivum (bread wheat) is the source of this 135-nucleotide non-coding RNA. Lineage: Eukaryota; Viridiplantae; Streptophyta; Magnoliopsida; Poales; Poaceae. The record is from Rfam.